GAAGUAAAAGUCGUAACAAGGUUUCCGUAGGUGAACCUGCGGAAGGAUCAUUACAAAUUAUGGCGAACCUCGCGUUUCACGAGGUCUGCGUCCAUUUUUUAUAUUUAAAACAUCCCACUCUUUAAAAAUAUUUAUCUAAUGAUAAAAAUAAAAAGGAUCACUUUCAACAACGGAUCUCUUGGCUCUCGCAUCGAUGAAGAACGUAGCGAAGUGCGAUAUGUAAUGUGAAUUGCAGAAUUCCGUGAAUCAUCGAAUUUUUGAACGCAAAUUGCACUCUCCUCGGAGAGUAUGCCUGUUUGAGGGUCAGCCUAAAAAAAAUCGACAUCGUUGCUGUUUCGCGGUAACGUUCGUCGGAAAUUGGGUCAUCUUAAACCUUUUGGUUUAAGCGACUUAAAAUUUUCUUUUUGAUUCCAUAAACGUUUCUAAGAUUUAUUUCUUUACACGUUUAAGGUAUUAAUUUAUUAGACGUGGCCGUCAUAUCGGAUCACGUCCAUAAUCUUUCAUUAACUGACCUCAGACAGGUAAGAGUACCCGCUGAACUUAAGCAUAUCAAUAAGCGGAGGA
Molecule: ribosomal RNA, 564 nt
Filed under: uncultured glomeraceous AM fungus
Lineage: Eukaryota; Fungi; Glomeromycota; Glomeromycetes; Glomerales; Glomeraceae
Description: eukaryotic LSU rRNA
Rfam family: 5.8S ribosomal RNA (bases 159-306)
Source: RNAcentral